RNAcentral lists this long non-coding RNA (9815 nucleotides) under Gossypium barbadense (sea-island cotton). RNAcentral describes it as "long non-coding RNA (GBAR_LNC011205)". The record is from RNAcentral. Lineage: Eukaryota; Viridiplantae; Streptophyta; Magnoliopsida; Malvales; Malvaceae.
CAACUAGCCCACUAUCCUAAAAUUUUUCAGCAACCAACCCUAGGUACCAAGACCUUCAGCCGCCGCAUACCCCUCAGCCUUGGCCACCACGCCUCACGCAUGCCCUUCAGCCUUGGUCACAACGCUCCACGCGUCUGACACUCCUAUACCCUGCAAACACAAACAACAAGAAACAGCAGCAACAACAGAAGUCAAGUAGCAGAAGAAACAAGAGCAAAAAGACAAAAAAUAGAAAAUAAAAGUCUUGUAACUUGGCUUUAAAAGCCAGAACCUGGUCAUUGAAAUUUCUUCUUCUUUUUUUAGAAAAGCUUUUUACACACACAUCAGUAAAAAAACAAGAAAACAAAAUCAAGAAAGGUUGAUUUUAGUCUCUACUUGUUCGGUUUCUUUUUGUUCAAUUUAUAUUUUUUUUAUCUUUUUAUUUUCAUUACAAAUCUAUUUUAAAUAGAAAAAUCAAUAAAAAGAAAACAAAAAGAGGAGAACCUUACCCGAACGCCCCUUGGUCGGCCAUCGAAAUUCUUCUCUCCGUCGCUGAAGUCGAUUUCAAGAGAGAAAAAGGGGUCUUUCUUUCAUAUAUCAUUUUUUUGAGGGGGGUUUUGAGGAGGCUCGGUUUUCAAACUCUUUAAACGGAGGUAAAAAACCCUCCUUUUCACUUGCCUUCAACCACCGUCCAUGGUGGCCUUAACGGCGGUGGCGAUGAUGGGUAUGAAGCCCUAGCCAAAAAGAGAGAAAUGGGGGAGAAAAGGGGAAGGAGAGAAAGCAAAAAGCUUUCUAUUUUCUUAAAAAAAAAAAGGGCUGGAAACAAAAAAAUAAAAAAGGGGGUUUUAAGUUUUUUUUAAAAAAAAGAAGGCCUGCACUUUAACCCGUUUAUCAGGCCUAAUAUGUGCCUUUUAAUUGAAAAUGGGGGAAUUGUGCAUUAGGUCCUUCCCAUUUGCGCAAACAUUCAAUCAUGCCUCAUUUAUUUCAUUUCUUUUUAAUUUGGCUUUGACACUUAUGUAUAUUAGCAUUUCGGUCCCAUUUCUUUUUAUUUUAUUAUUUUCGCCCCAAAUUUCUGUCUAGAGUUCAAAUUAGCCCCUUUUCGUUCUUUUCUUUUAUAUUUUAUUUUAUUACUUAACAUUAUGGUAUUAUAAUUGUAUUUUAUUUUCUUGCAUAUUAUUUACUAUUAUUAUUAUCACCUUCAUUCCAUUAUUAUUAUUGCUAUUGCUAUUUUUUUGUUGUUUAUAUUUUUAUUUAUAUUAUUAUUAGUAUCAUUAUUAUUAUUAUUAUCUCCAUUAUUAUUAUUAUUAUUAUUAUUAUUAUUAUUAUUAUUCUCUUGUUAUAUUACUAUUAUUGUUAUAUUAUCACUAUUUUUCUUACUAUUAUUAUUACUACAAAUAUUAUUACUAUGAUUAUAUUUUCCUUUUAUACCCAUUUGCUUAGUACCUCAUUGAUUUUAUAUUUUUACUAUUAUAAUAAUUAUUAUCAUUACUUUUCAUCGUUAUAUAUAUAUUUUUUCUUUUCUCUGUUUUAUUAUUAUUAUUAAUAUCAUUAUUAAUAUUAAUAUUAUUUUUAUUUUUAUUAACAUAUUUUUUUACCAUAUUAUUAUUUCCUUUUUUAUACAUAUCAUUAUUGAUAUUAACAUAUACUAUUAUUAUUAAUGUACUAUUAUUUUCUAUUUAUUACUAUUAUAUUUAUUACUAUUAUUAAUAUAUAUUUUUUUCUUUUCUUUAGUGCUAUCACUAUUAUUAUAUUAUUUGUCUUAUUAAUGUACUGUUACUAUUUCCCACUUAGCUAUUAUUACUAUUAUUAUUUUUACUAUUAUAAUUAUUAUUAAUCUUUUAUUAUUCUCUUACAUUGCUUGUUUGUCUUACUCCUCUAUUUCUGAUCUCAUCAUUCUUAUUAUGCAUUUAUUUUUAUUCUGUUAUGUUCAUUGAUAUCGAAAUUCAUAUUUGUUUGCUCAUUUUUUGCUAUUCCACUUUACCACGAAUUUAUAUUAAUUACCCAACGAAAAUAAUUCUUUCAUAAAAGUAAUAUUCGGUGUUUGAAAUUCGGGGAAACGUGCCCUAAUUUAUUGGGUUUCGAUUUUUCUCGUUCAUCCUAAUUAACCGAAUAUCCUUUUAAAAGAAGUUAAAAUACAUUAAUUUUAAAUAAAAGGCAAGUUCAGUCCCAAAGUUCGAGAUGUUGUGUCCUAACUUACUAGACAUGAUAUUUUAUUACCUCGAGAUGAGAGAGUCCUUAACAUCCGUUUUAAUUUAUACAAUUAUUUUUUUAAAUUAGCAUUAUACAAAGAGGGAUCGUAUUUUAAAUUCUAUUAAGUUUUCAAAUUUUCGACAAUAAGACACUAAUUAAUCAAUUAGGUACCAAUUUUGGGCGUAUCGAGGGUGCUAACCCUUCCUCAUGCGUAACCGACUCCCGAACUCAUUUUUUGAUUUUCGUAGACCAAAAAGUAUCGUUUUAGUAAAGCUUAAAUUUUAUUAAAAUGAUUAAUUUAAGGUGACCCGAUCACACCUCAUCAAAAAUGAUUGGUGGCGACUCCCGUUUUAAUUUUCACUUUCAAAACCAAAGUCGAUCCCCGUUUAAAAAAAAUGGUUACGACAGUUUGGCGACUCCGCUGGGGACUUUUAUAAGAGAGUCAAGCCACAAGUUGAUUAACUUUUGUCUUUUUUUUCGAAAAUUGAGAAUUUGGGUUUUGAUAUACGAUCUCUUUAUUGCAUUUCGCCCGUUUUUCAUACUGUUUUCAUCAUUUUAUUCCUAUUUUCUUUAAUCGCUUCAAGUUUUUAUGCAUAUAUCCUCUCACAUUGCAUUGCAUGACCGUUGUGGUCACACCUUUUAAGUGGGAGUGAGAAACUAUUCCUUCGUGAGGUUUUCACCUCCGUGCAGGAUAGCGGAUCGCUUUCGGGAUACAUCUGUACCUAUGUCUUCGUGAGAUUUUCAUCUCCGCAUGGUCAUAGGGAAAUGUAUUCCCCUGGACCGAACUCGAUCUACAUGAGCUUAUAAUGGGUGAAGAUCGAGGAAUCUGUUGGUUCGGGUACCUUUACUCUAGAACCAAGCCACAUAUAGAGAGACCUAAGAGCCCACCCUAGGUAGAGCCACUCCGAACCCCUAGUGGUCACCCGAAUUGCUUUAUUUGUUAUUUAUUUAUCCUGCACUAACGUGUUUUAUUUUUGUUUUGUUUGUGAUUGCAUUGCAUUACAUCAUCCUAGGAAGGAGGUGUUGAUUCAUAUUUGAUUGGUAAAUAGAACAGUUUGUCAUAAGAAAACAAAUUUUUUGAUAAAGUGGAUUAUAAUACGGUUGUCUAAAUAUGGUCCAAGUGAACACAUGAAAGAAGGCUGAUAGUCCGUGAAGAAAUACAAGACUUUGCUUCAUUGCCUGAGGACAGAAACUGACAAAGAUUCUUAAAGGAGCUGACAAGUAUCAUAGAAAUAAGUGAACAACGAGUCGCGGCCUGGAUCAAGCAAAAAGGAGUUAAUAUAGACAUCUCUUGGGGAAUUUGCAAGACUCAACCAUAAAAUCCGGAUGCGAAGAGGAAGAUAUGUGUCUUCACUUGGAAUAUGAGAAAGGCCGUAUAUGUAGUCCGUUUUAUGUAAAGGAAUUUGUCUUCUAGAAAAGUUGUUCUAAUGAAAUUGAAUUCAGAAUCAAUGUCUUCCUUUCUUUUGCAUACAUUUCAUGCAUUUGCAUUGCAUUACAUUAUUUGCACUAGACUUUCCCUAAAAGAACCCUAAUUAGGUGAAAUUAUUUCAGUUAAUCUGGGAACCGAUAAAAGUCAAGCAACUAGGCAUCUUUACGGUACAAGGAAAAGGAUAAAAGAUAUGGAUCAAAGAUUGGAAAGACUGGAACAACUUCAAAAAGAGAUGCAAGACCAGUUACAACUACAAAUGCAAGAGCAACUGGCGAAGAUCCAGCAAGAUACAAGGGACCAAAUACUAGAGUCCCAAAGGAAUACGAUUAAUCAGUUGCCCCAAUUACUGGCUAAGGGGCUAGGAAAAGGAAAAAACUCUAUGACCAAUGCUGGGGAGGACAAUGAGGAGCCUCUAUACCCUCCGGGUUUCACCCCGAUAAACGAUCAGACACGUUCGCAAGAUGUACCUAUUGCUAUCAGAUCACAACAACAUCAGGUCGGUACCUCGGCACCCAUGAACUACCCGACGGGCUCAGGUUCCAAUCCAAGGAACAAUCUAACCAAUCAUGAAGUUCCUGAUCUAGAUGAAAUGGAAGGAAUAGGAAAAUCAAAGGUUGAACUGGCGAGACAACUCGAAGAUCGAUACAAGUGGUUGGAAGAAAAACUUAGAGUGAUGGAGAAUGUUGAUUACCAUCGCAGGAUCGAUGCCAAGGAUCUGAGUUUGGUACCUAAUCUAGUACUCUUGGCUAAAAUUUAAGACUCCAGAGUUUGAAAAGUAUAAUGGGACUAGUUGUCCUGAAGCUCACAUCACAAUGUUCUGUCGAAGGAUGACGGGAUAUGUUAAUAAUGACCAAUUAUUAAUUAAUUGCUUCCAAGACAGUCUAAUCGGGCCAGCAACUAAAUGGUACAAUAAAUUAAGUCGUGCUAAAAUCAAUUCAUGGAAAGACUUAGCACGGGCUUUCAUGAAGCAGUAUGGCCACAUGACUGACAUGGCACCCGACAGAAUUACACUACAGAAUAUGGAAAAGAAGCAAGGUGAGAGCUUCAGGCAAUAUGCCCAAAGAUGGAGAGAGGUAGCGACGCAAGUCCAACCACCUCUUCUAGAGAAAGAAACUAAAUCACUUUUCUUCAACACUCUGAAAGCCCCGUUCAUUACCCAUAUGUUGAGAAGCGCUACCUUGAGCUUCUCAGACAUAGUAAUGUCCAGCGAGAUGAUUGAAAACGCAAUCAGAAGCGGGAAGUAGAUGCAGGAGAAAGCGCCAAGAGGUCAACCCCAAAUAGAAAUGAAAAUGAAGUGAAUAGUAUGAGCAAAUGGUACCCCAAAUUGGUCAACAUAGGCCAGCCGAGGCAGGAAUCCAACUCGAGGCCGAAUAUAGAAUGGCUCCGGUUUACACCAAUCCCAAUGUCAUAUAAGGAGUUGUAUCAGAAUCUCUUUGAUGUACAUGUAGUGUCACCGUUCUACUCAGAACCAGUGCAACCUCCAUUCCCAAAAUGGUAUAAUGAGAAUGCUCAAUGUGAGUACCACGCGGGAAUAACGGGACACUCAAUCGAAAGCUGCACUAUUUUUAAAAAGUUGGUCGAAAGGUUCAUGGAAAUGGGAGUUGUAAAGUUUGACGAUUCCUCAGAACCAAAUCGCUCUGACAAUGCAUCUUUUUGAGCAAAUAUUCUUUGAUUUCAUAUUGUACAAAUAAUCGUUCUUAGAUUCAUUUGUUCUUUGGACUUUCUUUCAAAUAUUCAUGUAUACUUCAUCCAUGAUCAUACCAUACAAAUAAUCAUCCUUAGAAUCAUUUAUUCUUUGGAAUCUGCCUUCAGCGGGUCCCUAGAUAUCAAUGAUGUGAGUAAUGCUGUCAUUGACUCCGAGUCUCCUUUUGAGCAAAAUAUGGGCCUAAAGGGAUCUCAACACUUUGAAGAUGAUAGGGACGUAGAUUACUCUCUGAUUUGUUAAGAAUGGUAGAGUAAGAUGAAAACAGAUCCUCUCUUACAAAAAGUUAGUGGAUAGUUGGCCUAGGACAAGAGAAAGAGGCAAACAUCGGAGUCUGCAUUACCACAAAUACAAAGCGAGACGUUAUUGAAUCAUUUCCAAGAAUGUAAAUAUUUUUUUUGCGCGACUGUAUCAAGAUACGCCUGGCCACUAAGACGUGAGGAUAUCGCAAGGUUUUGAACGACAUAUACUAAUGACAUGUACGAUGGCCGAGUUAAUCAUGAGAUUUGGUUUCUACCGAUCCACCGUAGAAAGGGAUUACAUUAGUGCCAUAAAUGCCAAAUGGAGACGAGAUUCAUGUGCUCCUUCAUUUUUCCGUAGACUUUCUCUAUGUGAGGGCAUGGAGGUUAUGGGCCGAUCUAUUUGAAAGAUUUUAACCAAUACUGAUUCACCUUUGGGGUCGUCGAUUACUCCGCGGAAAGGGUAAAAGUUGUUUCAUAUGCCAAUGUCACUAGGUCGACAUUCAUCAAAUUCUAAAAAAAAAGGGUGCCAACAAAGAGUGCCAGAAAAUCAUGUCUAACACAGCUGUACAAUGUCAAAAGGUUGCAGUCUGUUCAAAGAUUAGGCGCUAUAUGGCAAAGGCAAAGGUAAAAAAAAAAGAAAAGAAAAAGAAAAAGAAAAAGAAAAAGAAACCCAACAACAAAUUAAAGAUCAUGGGGAAGAUAACCGAGACUUGUAAAGAUUGGCAUAAGAAGUCACCAUUUACCCUCUAUGCUCAUCGAACGUUGGCCAAGACCUUCACCGGGGCAGUGUAUUUCAUCAGUUUAUGGGAUAAAAACGAUUUUAAAGAAGAGAUUUCUUGUUUCUGAGUCUUGUCAGACCUGAAGGUGGAUAAGGCAAUCCUGAUACGAUCAGUUGAAUUCGAAGAAAGGAGGUUGAAAGCCAUCCGUCAUGGUCCAAUGAACGAUGUGAGCUUACGAUGAAGAGGUUCAUCCUAGAGAGUUCCACGAGGGGAACUUGAUAAUGAAAAGAUCCCUCCUAUAUAAAAGACUUCAGAGAAAAAAUGGAUGUCGAACUGAGAAGAACUUUAUGUAGUAAAGAAGACCUGUUUUGGAGGGGCAUCAAUGUUGACCGAGAGGGAUGGCAAAGAUUUGCCCAAGUCGGUGAAUUCGGAUUUCGUCAAGAAGUAUUUCACCUAGAAAAUGAGAGGCUAAGGCGAAAACCCGCAAAGGGCGCUUUGAGACCUUCAAAAAAAAAGAAAGAAAGAAAGAAAGAAAAAAAGAAAGAAAUAGAAGAAAAAUGAGAGGCCAAAGCAAAAACCCGCAAAGGGCGUUUUGAGACCAAAGGGGAUUUGAGUUGAAAACCCGGAAAGAACGGCUCAAAUUUGGAUCCAAGUGGGGCAUACAACAGUCUUGCUAUACCUGAAUUAACAAUGAAGAAGUAUGCUACGUCUUGGGGCAUCAACAAAGUGCUUCGAAUCUCCUAAACACGUAUUGAGCUCAGAAAAGCCCUUAAGAAGUUGGUACAAGAGAAGCUCAAGCUGUGAUAUCUGGGGCACCUAGUUUUCCAUUCUACCCAUUUUGAAUUUGCUAAAUUUGAUUAACUCAUUCGUUUUGAGUUAAUUUCCUUCUUAUUGCAUUUGCAAUCUCUGAUUAAUUUAUCCAUUUCGAGCUAUGCUCCUAAUCAAUUUCCUUCUUAUUUUGAUCUUUUUCAGGCAUUUUGCAUUGAAAUAAUGAUUAAUGGACUAAUAACACUUUCACAAAAGAAAUUUUGCAUAUUACUCUGGAAGUUUCUAACUAAUACAAGAACUUGAAACAUGACUAUUGUUUAGAACUUAUCAAGCCUAAUGGUUGGAAAUAUUGAAGAAAAGAUGAUUAUCUCUUUGGACUCUUUAUUGGUUGAACCAAAAGACAAGACAUUUCAUCGGUGAUACAAUCCCGGCAAAGAACAAGCAAUGGGAUUAUUCUCGAGAAAAUGAAAAUGGUAUUCUGUAUUCAUACAGAUAUCAGGCAUAUACAUUUUUUCAUUACACCUAAGGAAUGGUGUAAUAGAUCAAAUUGAUUGAAUAUGAUGCAAAUCCUAUACCUCUGAGUGGCAGCAGGAUGGAUAGAAGAAAUCAAAUGAUUAUUCCCCUGAAAUGCAGUGGGAAGUACAAACUUUAUGUCCUCGAAGCUACAGUGGAAGAAACUCUGAAAUUACAACGGGGCAAGCUUGCUAAGCAAAAUGUGAUUGUUUCUUUGACUUUCCUGUCAAGAAUACCAACCGAACAAGAUGGCAGCAUAAUACGUCAAUGAUAAUGUCCUGAUGAGCAAUGAAUGAUGAUACCUUAAGCCUUUUUAAAUGGAUCAUUUUCAUGUCAUUCAUAACACAUCUAGUUAGGAGCAUUUGAUUCAUUUCGAUCAUAGCAUCCUAAUUAUUUGACAUAAGCAUCAUAUUUAGUUAGGAGCAUUUGAUUCAUUUCAAUCAUUGCAUCCUAAUUAUUUGGCAUAAGCAUAGAUACAUGAAACUAAUUUUAUAGAUCAUGUUCCUCAGAGGACAGUGCAGUGGAAUCGGUGAAUCCACAAGCCUUAACCCCCUAAGCAGUAGGGUAACAGGCUAAAUUUACAAAUCUUAAACCCCUAAGCAGUAGGGUAACAGACCGAAUUGCAGAUCUUAUCUCCCUAAGCAGUAGUGGAGCAGAUCGAAGACGAAGGGUCUUGACCCCCUAAGCAGUAGGGUAACAAGCCGAAUUUACAGACCUUAAACCCCUAAGCAGUAGGAGAACAGGUUGAAUUCAUAGAUCUUAUCACCCUAAGCAGUAGGGAAACAGAUCAAAGACGAAGGGCCUUAACCCCCUAAGCAGUAGGGUAACAGGCUAAAUUUACAGAUCUUAACACCCUAAGCAGUAGGGAAACAGAUCAAAGGUGAUGGGCUUUAACCCCCUAAGCAGUAGGGUAACAAGCCGAAUUUACAGACUUAAACCCCUAAGCAGUAGGGUAACAGGAUGAAUUCACAGAUCUUGUCACCCUAAGCAGUAGGGAAACAGAUCAAAGACGAAGGGCCUUAACCCCCCUAAGCAGUAGGGUAACAGGCUAAAUUUACAAAUCUUAACACCCUAAGCAGUAGAGAAACAGAUCGAAGGUAAUGGGCUUUAACCCCCUAAGCAGUAAGGUAACAAGCCGAAUUUACAGACCUUAAACCCCUAAGCAGUAGGGUAACAGGUUGAAUUCACAGAUCUUAUAACCCUAAGUAGUAGGGAAACAGAUCGAAUGCGAUGAGCCUUAACCCCCUAAGUAGUAGGGUAACAGGCUAGAAAUCAAAUAUCCUCUCCCUGAAAUAACUUUGGAGCGGCUAAAAGCCACAGCAGAUCUUCUUGAAGUUUCAGCAGAGUAGAUUGAAAAUCACAUAUAUUAUCUCUCUGAAGUUGCAGUAGAGCGGAUCCAAACAAACCUUAUCUCCCUGAAGUUGUAGCGGAGCAAGUUGAAAUCACAAGUCUCACCUCCCUAAAAUUGUAGUGGAGCAGGCUGAAGAUAAUGGAUCUUAUUUCCCUGGAGUUGCAGCAGAACAGAUCAAAGCUACGAAUUACGAGUCCUACACCUCUGAAGUUGUAGUAGGGUCGGAUCGAAUUCUCUAUAUUGAGCAGAUGAAAGUUACAAGUCUAUACCCCUGAAGAUGCAGUGGGAUGGAACGAGGCUUUUAGAAGAACAGAAGUACCAAGAAGCCAAGAUUCAGAGGGACUGGGCAAAAUUGGCACCUUUAAAGUCUUUGCUCCAUUCUCGUUACACGACAACGAGCAAAGAGGGGCAGCUGUAGUAGCCAAUUUUGGCCCAGACAAAUAAACACAAAUAAAAUAGCCCAAAUUAAAAGUCCAUUUACAAACAAAGUCCAUUUACAAACAAAGUUACCAGCCCAAUUACAGCUCAAAAAAAUUAAAACCCUAAAAGCCCAACUAGCCCACUAUCCUAAAAUUUUUCUGCAACCAACCCUAAGUACCAAGACCUUCAGCCGCCACAUACCCCUCAGCCUUGGUCACCACGUUCCACGCGUCUGACACUCCUAUACCCUGCAAACACAAACAACAAGAAACAACAGCAACAACAGAGGCCAAGUAGCAGAAGAAACAAGAGAAAAAAGACAAAAAAUAGAAAAUAAAAGUCUUGUAACUUGGCUUUAAAAGCCAGAACCUGGUCAUUGAAAUUUCUUCUUCUUUUUUUAGAAAAGCUUUUUACACACACAUUAGUAAAAAAUCAAGAAAACAAAAUCAAGAAAGGUUGAUUUUAGUCUCUACUUGUUCGGUUUCUUUUUGUUCAAUUUAUA